RNAcentral lists this ribosomal RNA (253 nucleotides) under uncultured bacterium. RNAcentral describes it as "partial 16S ribosomal RNA". It matches the Rfam family "Bacterial small subunit ribosomal RNA", at positions 524 to 776 of the family's 1533-position model. The record is from RNAcentral.
UACAGAGGUCUCAAGCGUUGUUCGGAUUCAUUGGGCGUAAAGCGCGCGUAGGCGGCCCGGUAAGUCCGCUGUGAAAGUCAAAGGCUCAACCUUUGAAUGCCGGUGGAUACUGUCGGGCUAGAGUCCGGAAGAGGCGAGUGGAAUUCCUGGUGUAGCGGUGGAAUGCGCAGAUAUCAGGAGGAACACCAAUAGCGAAGGCAGCUCGCUGGGACGGUACUGACGCUAAGGCGCGAAAGCGUGGGGAGCGAACAGG